This 2391-nucleotide long non-coding RNA is filed under the name Oncorhynchus kisutch (coho salmon). RNAcentral's name for it is "lncRNA (ENSOKIG00005025358.1)". The record is from RNAcentral. Lineage: Eukaryota; Metazoa; Chordata; Actinopteri; Salmoniformes; Salmonidae.
AUGGAACGAAUGGAAGUGGACCAGUGCGCAGGCGCAACUACCGGGAGCGGAGGAGGGGCCCUUCGUAGAUCGAACAGCGCCCCCAUGAUCACAAGUGUCAGUGAUGGUAUGACAGUGUUCAGUCCAACUAGUUCAGUCCGGUAUCGGCGGAGCAGUGUCUCUGUGAAUCCCAGUUGCCCUUAUCGGGCCGUCCCCUUGUCCCCUUUCUCAUUGGGUGGUGAGAGACCAGACCACAAAAGGCAGGUUGAGAAUAUAGAGAUGACACUCAGGGGGAGUCUUCAGAGACUAAGUGCUUCCAACCUGGUCCCUCCUCCUGUCAGUCACUGGCAUGACCAUUCAUCAGGGGGAUUCCAUUCACAGGACAGUGGUGUCACACCCAAUUCGUCCCCUAGUCCAACUCGAAGGUUUAGGGGGCCUACAGUCAGUUCUACUGUGAGAUGGCCUGCCCUGACUCCACUGAAAAGGAAAGGAGGUGUGGAGUCUGAUGGCCCGCCCAAGAAGCUGUUUGUUGCCGGGGUAACAGAACCUGCUCACCGGACUAGUUACACAGUCAGUGUGUCCCAGGCAUCAGCAGACUCUCCUACAGGUGGUGUGUCUGUGUGUGAUGCCAGUCCCCAGGGUAGUCCACUGUCCCUGUCUCCUCCCCCCUCUUACCAGCCCAACAUCUAGACACCCCAACACUAGGAGCCUAUCAUAGACCAGGACUACAGUCAGCCUGUCAGGGCCCUGGAUCCCUCUCAACACAGCCCCACCCACUCGGUCCACCUACAGAGCCUGGGAAUCAACUCAGUAAGCCUAUCAGAACCUUAGUUUCUACGCAAUCUGCCUAUCAGGGAGCACUCCUCUCUCUCAAACCAUCAGAGCCUUGGGGAAACAUAUUCCUUGGCUCCUGAAGUAAUCAGAUCUGGAUUUGUAAUCAAGAUAAUAUCUAGAUGUUAUACAAAGAUUGGCACCCGUGCUUUGAUGAUCAAAAGGUUGCAGGAAAUGCCCUGCUAAAGGAAGUUGGUGACCAGCGCAUUGUAAGGUAGUGUCAGGGUGAAGAGAUUGUGAUGACAAUGGGAAAGAACUUAGAAAGUAAUUUGACUAACUUCUGGGCUCACUUUUCGCUGUAGUUGACAUGUGGGUUGUGUUGUGAUAACCAAUGUCAACUAUGGUUGUAAUUUUCCUUGUUGGGAUUUUAUUUUUCUCAUAUCCAGAGGUGUUACUGGUACUGUAAAACAGAAUGACUUCCAAUAGUCUUCCAAUAGUCAAGAAAAGGCCUUGUCUAAAGUUGUGUUCAGGGGUAAUGGUGAGGGAACGUUAUAUCCCACUGAACGGGACCCAAUGGUCCAGUAUUCUUUGAUAGUCCAGAAGUUAGCUCUCAAACAUGAGACAUUAAGUCACCACAGCGGACUGCCGAGCCGGUGUAUAUGUGAAUAGUGUAUUGACAUGUGAAUAUGAGGAUAUAACCAGGGCUGCCUUUAUGGCCCCUCACUUUCUCUGGCUGUGGGGGUUUGUACUGUAAAUAUAGAAUCCCCAAGCAAAGCUCUGCCCAGAGGACCCUCCCAAUCCUGGUCCUUAAGGGCCCAAUCCUAAUGAUUGUUCUGCGUGGAUACUGGUAACUCAAAUUUUAGCACAAAUCUGUCAUUGACAUGACAGAGCAAUUCCACUGUAUCAGAGUGACACAAACCAUGUUUCCAUCCACAGUUUUUAUGCCAGUAAAGUCAUAUUUUAUAAAAACAUUUUUUACAACAGCUGUGAUGGUAACAGGAAGUUUCAGUACAAUUUCCUAAAUGCCGACAGAUAAUUUGUUAAUUCGACAUGAUGGGAUCUUUUUGUCUGUAAAAUAGAUUAUGCGAGAAAUGGCUUUAUGCUCUAAUAUUGAUAAAAUAACCAUCAUAUCGAAGUAAACUUGGAGUCACACGAUGACGUGUUGUCCUCCCACUACAACUCAGGGAAACAAUGCAGUUUAUUAGCCUACAGAUGAAAUAAGUUAUGAACUUCACAGGGUGGGGAAAGUGCACAAUGCUCCUUUGUAAUAAAUAUCGAGUCUUAUUCUGGUGACAUGAUGAUCGAUACUUGACUGCCAUUUUGACAAAUAAAAAUAUUCUGGCUCUUAUCCAUAAUAAUCUCAUCAUGUAGACUAGGCAACCUGCAUUGUAUUGGCUAGAGCGCAGGUGCCAAGACCAGUGUAGGCACAUUUGCUAUUUAACACAACUGUUUGUGACCAAAGUAUUGGUAGAGUGAAAACUUAAGCGAAAAAGUAUGUUUUGUGUGCACUGUCAUCACACACCGAUUAUUAUCGGUCAGUUUGGUGGAAACCACCACCGUAUUUUAGAAUAUUCAAAUGAUAAUCUGUCGCCAAUUGGAUGGAAACCUAGCUACAGACUCACAUUUUAAAUAGAAAAAACU